Molecule: non-coding RNA, 1112 nt
Organism: Pelobates cultripes (western spadefoot toad)
Lineage: Eukaryota; Metazoa; Chordata; Amphibia; Anura; Pelobatidae
Source: the annotation of a GenBank genome assembly
GGUAAAUACAACAAUGUGGAUUUCUACACUUUUUAAUUUCUCCUCAUAAGCAUAUGAAUUAAUUAUAGGUGAUAGUAAACAUGAGAAUUCAUGAGACCUGGAAUUUCCCCUCUCAACACUUUAGGUUGAUUUGUGUAACACUCCAAGCACCAUAACCACUGCAGUACCAGGAGUGUCUUUGCGCCCUCCAAGAGUAAUUUAUUUAACCAUUUCAGAACAAUUUGACAAUUUACCUGGGGCCUUAGAUGUCCAUGUCAUAUCUGGUCAUGUCUUGCAGGAGAAACUGGUUGGGUCUAUCCAGCCAAAAAGACCAUGUUCCUAGCUGACAUUGAUUUGCUGAUGCUCAGUGGGGUUAGCCAAAUUUUCCUGCAAUUGGAAUCCAGAAUCUGGGACUGGAGCCACUCGAGUUUACUAUGAGAGAGCAUCAAGACACUAAAGGCACCAUAACCACUGCAGCAGGCUGUGGAGAUUAUGGUGUUGGUGUGUUCCAUUAAGUCGGCUUGGAGAAACCUUACUUGCUUUAAAAAAUACUUUUUUGAUAAAAUAAACACAAUGAAAUCUCGCCCCAUACUUCGUACCCACAAAAAUAUUAGAAUGCCCCACCUUAAACCAGAAAGUGCUGAUAUGGACAGGUGCGAUCGAAGUUCCCUCCCCCCCAGGUUGAUAAAACCCAUUUCCUAUUUGUUAUUCCAAAUAAUAUCAAAGCCUAAUGCUGAUGGGUAUCCGAGAGGACAGGUCUGUCUGGCUCAGUGGAUUGUUUUGUCUGUGAGAUUAUUAGAUGAAUGGGAAAGGUGACUUUAGAGUCCUUGCUGUCCAAAAACAUGUACUCUCUCUGUCUCUGCAUUGAUUCAAGUCCUGCAGACUAGGAUAUCCAGCUAUACGGCUGUUAGCAUCAGUCUAGAAGGCCUGGUCUAUCCUGCAGACUAGGAUAUCCAGCUAUACGGCUGUUAGCAUCAGUCUAGAAGGCCUGGUCUACUAACUACAAUAAGUGCUCAACCAGGGAACUCCCAGGGGGGCUGUUAGGGCUGUUAAAUUAGAUGUAAUGGAAGACACUGAUAAAAUCAAGAUAUUCUAAACUUAAACAUCUCAAUAUGAACAUUAUAACAAGAAAU